This is a long non-coding RNA of Frieseomelitta varia, 205 nucleotides long. RefSeq lists it as uncharacterized. The transcript has 3 exons. The record is from RefSeq and is a predicted model, not a curated record. Lineage: Eukaryota; Metazoa; Arthropoda; Insecta; Hymenoptera; Apidae.
UAAAUUAUAUUUUACCUAUAAAAUAUAAAUAUAAGGAACUAGGAAAAAUAAAUAUAUUCACCUGUUAAUCAAAAACAUGUCUUAUUGAAAAUAAUUUUAAGUCAAUCUGCCCAGUGAAUAAAUUAAAUGGCUGAAGUAUAACUGACUGUACAAAGGUAGCAUAAUCAAUUGAUUUUUAAAUGAAAUCUGGAAUAGAUAGGAAGAA